This 227-nucleotide long non-coding RNA is filed under the name Volvox carteri. RNAcentral describes it as "long non-coding RNA (VCAR_LNC001278)". Lineage: Eukaryota; Viridiplantae; Chlorophyta; Chlorophyceae; Chlamydomonadales; Volvocaceae. The record is from RNAcentral.
AGCAAAGCGCACAGAAAAAUAAAGUGCGUGUACAUUGUUGAACAAGCCUUUCGCCAGAGUUGUAACCUCGAUUAGAAACCUACCACAACACAGUAGUUUAGCUGCUAACGUAACUUUUUAUACAACUCAUGUGAGCAACGCGCAUUUCGCUCGGCGGCCAAGUUAGCUAGGGUAUCCGGCGCAUAUAAUAACGGCGCAUUGCCCGAAGGGGAGGCGCUAUGAAGUGC